This 500-nucleotide ribosomal RNA is filed under the name uncultured bacterium. Its description in RNAcentral is "partial 16S ribosomal RNA". It matches the Rfam family "Bacterial small subunit ribosomal RNA", at positions 30 to 523 of the family's 1533-position model. The record is from RNAcentral.
AUUGAACGCUGGCGGCAGGCCUAACACAUGCAAGUCGAGCGGAUGAGAGGAGCUUGCUCCUCGAUUCAGCGGCGGACGGGUGAGUAAUGCCUAGGAAUCUGCCUAGUAGUGGGGGACAACGUUUCGAAAGGAACGCUAAUACCGCAUACGUCCUACGGGAGAAAGUGGGGGAUCUUCGGACCUCACGCUAGUAGAUGAGCCUAGGUCGGAUUCGCUAGUUGGUAGGGUAAAGGCAUACCAAGGCGACGAUCCGUAACUGGUCUGAGAGGAUGAGCAGUCACGCUGGAACUGGGACACGGUCCAGACGCCUACGGGAGGGAGCAGUGGGGAAUAUUGUACAAUGGGCGAAAGCCUGAUCCAGCCAUGCCGCGUGUGUGCAGAAGGCCUUCGGGUCGUAAAGCACUUUAAGUUGGGAGCAAGGGCUCAUAGCGAAUACCUGUGAGUUUUGACGUUACCAACAGAAGAAGCACCGGCUAACUUCGUGCCAGCAGCCGCGGUAA